GGUGGAGGGAGCUCAUCAGUGGGGCUACAAACUGAGUGUGUCACGUCACUCUUCUACGGCCCUUGGGAAGGUCUGAGACUAUGGCCAAUAGCGGCCCUAACAGGGCCCUCCCUGAGCUCAGGGGAGGUGAGUUCCCAGAGCGAGGGCAGACUGGGCAGGAGUUUCAUAGCCUUCCCUGUAAACCUCUUUUUGGCCACU
This is a ribozyme of Heterocephalus glaber (naked mole-rat), 198 nucleotides long. It matches the Rfam family "Nuclear RNase P". From Rfam's summary of the family: Ribonuclease P (RNase P) is a ubiquitous endoribonuclease, found in archaea, bacteria and eukarya as well as chloroplasts and mitochondria. The record is from Ensembl. NCBI's taxonomy places the organism in Eukaryota, Metazoa, Chordata, Mammalia, Rodentia, Bathyergidae.